CAUGCAGUCGAACGGCAGCAUGAUCUAGCUUGCUAGAUUGAUGGCGAGUGGCGAACGGGUGAGUAAUACAUCGGAACGUGCCCUGUAGUGGGGGAUAACUAGUCGAAAGAUUAGCUAAUACCGCAUACGACCUGAGGGUGAAAGUGGGGGACCGCAAGGCCUCAUGCUAUAGGAGCGGCCGAUGUCUGAUUAGCUAGUUGGUGAGGUAAAGGCUCACCAAGGCGACGAUCAGUAGCUGGUCUGAGAGGACGAUCAGCCACACUGGGACUGAGACACGGCCCAGACUCCUACGGGAGGCAGCAGUGGGGAAUUUUGGACAAUGGGGGCAACCCUGAUCCAGCAAUGCCGCGUGUGUGAAGAAGGCCUUCGGGUUGUAAAGCACUUUUGUCCGGAAAGAAAUCGCACUUACUAAUAUUAGGUGUGGAUGACGGUACCGGAAGAAUAAGGACCGGCUAACUACGUGCCAGCAGCCGCGGUAAUACGUAGGGUCCAAGCGUUAAUCGGAAUUACUGGGCGUAAAGCGUGCGCAGGCGGUUGUGCAAGACCGAUGUGAAAUCCCCGGGCUUAACCUGGGAAUUGCAUUGGUGACUGCACGGCUAGAGUGUGUCAGAGGGGGGUAGAAUUCCACGUGUAGCAGAGAAAUGCGUAGAGAUGUGGAGGAAUACCGAUGGCGAAGGCAGCCCCCUGGGAUAACACUGACGCUCAUGCACGAAAGCGUGGGGAGCAAACAGGAUUAGAUACCCUGGUAGUCCACGCCCUAAACGAUGUCAACUAGUUGUUGGGGAUUCAUUUCCUUAGUAACGUAGCUAACGCGUGAAGUUGACCGCCUGGGGAGUACCGUCG
RNAcentral lists this ribosomal RNA (843 nucleotides) under uncultured bacterium. RNAcentral's name for it is "bacterial SSU rRNA". It matches the Rfam family "Bacterial small subunit ribosomal RNA", at positions 54 to 888 of the family's 1533-position model. The record is from RNAcentral.